GUGGUGGUUGAGCGCUAACACAAAUGUUUAACCCUGCUACAUUAUGUAUGUGCCUGUCUCAUGUUAGGAGCAUGUAAACCAGUGGUUGUCGUUGGUGACUGUCUGUCAUAAUGAUCUCAUAUAGGUUACUACAUGGGUUUAAUUUACCCAUGUUGACAAUGUACAGUUGUUCAUGAACUGCUUCAAUUAUUUAUAAAAGUAGGGAUUUCAACAAUGAUAAAUUAUGUCCAAAUACAAAAGCAUUAAUUGUCAAAUAAAAAGGGGAAUUCUAUCUCCGGAACCCGCUCCUUGGUUUGACUACAGGUGUUCGCAUCCUUGUGCUUUGUUUUUUGUGGC
RNAcentral lists this long non-coding RNA (336 nucleotides) under Mytilus galloprovincialis (Mediterranean mussel). The record is from RNAcentral. Lineage: Eukaryota; Metazoa; Mollusca; Bivalvia; Mytilida; Mytilidae.